This 442-nucleotide long non-coding RNA is filed under the name Salvia miltiorrhiza (redroot sage). RNAcentral describes it as "long non-coding RNA (SMIL_LNC000379)". Lineage: Eukaryota; Viridiplantae; Streptophyta; Magnoliopsida; Lamiales; Lamiaceae. The record is from RNAcentral.
UUUUUGUGGGUGCUUGUACAUCAAGAGUGAAGCUGAGAAAUCAUAGUAUAAGCUUGAAUAAAAAUUAAUUGAGACCAAUAGUUCUGUUACAAAAAAAUUGUACAAUAAUACAUGGGUUAAUUACUUAUUCAUAUACAAAGCAACAUAUACUUACACACUUACAAAGCAACAUAUACUUCCAUUAUCCUUCUCGAUAUACUUACAACGAAAAAGAAUUAAAAAUUUGAACACACUUAAUCCAACGAAAAGUAANAAAUUAAUCAGAGCUUCAUUUAAAUUUGCAUGACUCAUAACGGAUCUCUUCCCUCAAAAUUGAUUAAACAAAAAUAAUUAUAUUAUUUCUUCCCUAAAAACAGCGUGAAUGAGAAUUGAGAACAACUCUCGUAUACAUGGAUAUCCCAAGAUAAGUUAGAAAAGAAAGAUUUGUACAUGAAUGUAUANN